AAGGAAGAACGAAGUCGUGAACUGUAUUCAUGCUCAACUGCAGAUCAUCAUUUAGUGUGUGCCGACAUUUCUUGCUCCUUUACUAAAGAGAGGAGUGCUGCAGGUAUAGAAACUGGAAUCUUGUUCUUGUAGAACAAUAGUGCACUGCACUGUGUGUGCAUGUAAUACGUAUACACUGAGUACAAAGCAUUUUUUUUUGCAAAGGAACCAUAUACAUAGACACGUGUACCAAUCGCUUUAUCGCUUCCAAGAGUUCCAAG
Long non-coding RNA from Copidosoma floridanum, 260 nucleotides. Lineage: Eukaryota; Metazoa; Arthropoda; Insecta; Hymenoptera; Encyrtidae. The record is from RefSeq and is a predicted model, not a curated record.